RNAcentral lists this ribosomal RNA (509 nucleotides) under Salmonella enterica. Its description in RNAcentral is "partial 23S ribosomal RNA". It matches the Rfam family "Bacterial large subunit ribosomal RNA", at positions 1273 to 1773 of the family's 2925-position model. The record is from RNAcentral. Lineage: Bacteria; Pseudomonadati; Pseudomonadota; Gammaproteobacteria; Enterobacterales; Enterobacteriaceae.
CUGGAGGUAUCAGAAGUGCGAAUGCUGACAUAAGUAACGAUAAAGCGGGUGAAAAGCCCGCUCGCCGGAAGACCAAGGGUUCCUGUCCAACGUUAAUCGGGGCAGGGUGAGUCGACCCCUAAGGCGAGGCCGAAAGGCGUAGUCGAUGGGAAACGGGUUAAUAUUCCCGUACUUGGUGUUACUGCGAAGGGGGGACGGAGAAGGCUAUGUUGGCCGGGCGACGGUUGUCCCGGUUUAAGCGUGUAGGUGUGUGUUCCAGGUAAAUCCGGUUCACUUUAACACUGAGGCGUGACGACGAGGCACUACGGUGCUGAAGCAACAAAUGCCCUGCUUCCAGGAAAAGCCUCUAAGCAUCAGGUAACAUCAAAUCGUACCCCAAACCGACACAGGUGGUCAGGUAGAGAAUACCAAGGCGCUUGAGAGAACUCGGGUGAAGGAACUAGGCAAAAUGGUGCCGUAACUUCGGGAGAAGGCACGCUGACACGUAGGUGAAGUGAUUUACUCAUGGA